This 36-nucleotide transfer RNA is filed under the name Diphasiastrum wightianum. Its description in RNAcentral is "partial tRNA-Leu". The record is from RNAcentral. Lineage: Eukaryota; Viridiplantae; Streptophyta; Lycopodiopsida; Lycopodiales; Lycopodiaceae.
AAAAUUCGUUGGCUUUAUAGACCGUGAGGGUUCAAG